RNAcentral lists this small RNA (771 nucleotides) under Arabidopsis thaliana (thale cress). RNAcentral describes it as "ATSL034760". The record is from RNAcentral. Lineage: Eukaryota; Viridiplantae; Streptophyta; Magnoliopsida; Brassicales; Brassicaceae.
AACUAAGAAGCAGUAAAUAGCUUUGUUAGUGUUUCUAUGGUCAAAAUGUGUCACAAUCUAAAGCCUUUAACUAAUUAUAAGAGUUAGAGAUGGAUUAGGAGUGUUUAGACAAUACUUAUACCCAUUUUCUCCCAAAAGAGGCUAAAACCAACAAAACAUUGCUUAGAAGAAGUAAAUAGCUUUGUUAGUGUUUCUAUGGUCAAAAUGUGUCACAAUCCAAAGCCUUUGACUAAGUAUAAGAGUUAGGGAUGGAUUAAGAAUGUUUAGACAACACUUAUACCCAUUUUCUCCCAAAAGAGGCUAAAACCAACAAAAUUUGCUUAGAAGCAAUAAAUAGCUUUGUUUGUGUUUCUAUGGUCAAAAUGUGUCACAAUCCAAUGCAUUUGACUAAUGAUAAGAGUUUCGGAUGGAUUAGGAGUGUUUAGACAACACUUAUACCCAUUUUUCUCCCAAAAGAGGCUAAUACCAACAAACAAAUUGCUUAGAAACAGUUAACAGUUUUGAUAGUGUUUUUAUGGCAAAAUAUUUCACAAUCCAAUGCAUUUGACUAAUGCUAAGAGUUUGAGAUGGAUUAGAAGUGUUUAGACAACACUUAUACCCAUUUUCUCCCAAAAGAGGCUAAAACCAACAAAACAUUGCUUAGAAACAGUAAACGGUUUUGAUAGUGUUUUUAAGGCAAAAUGUUUCACAAUCCAAUGCAUUUGUAUAUUAUAAGAGUUAGAGAUGGAUUAGGAGUGUUUAGACAACACUUAUACCCAUUUUCUCCCAAAU